RNAcentral lists this transfer RNA (87 nucleotides) under Terrisporobacter mayombei. RNAcentral describes it as "tRNA-Leu". It matches the Rfam family "tRNA". From Rfam's summary of the family: Transfer RNA (tRNA) molecules are approximately 80 nucleotides in length. Their secondary structure includes four short double-helical elements and three loops (D, anti-codon, and T loops). Further hydrogen bonds mediate the characteristic L-shaped molecular structure. tRNAs have two regions of fundamental functional importance: the anti-codon, which is responsible for specific mRNA codon recognition, and the 3' end, to which the tRNAs corresponding amino acid is attached (by aminoacyl-tRNA synthetases). tRNAs cope with the degeneracy of the genetic code in two manners: having more than one tRNA (with a specific anti-codon) for a particular amino acid; and 'wobble' base-pairing, i.e. permitting non-standard base-pairing at the 3rd anti-codon position. RNAcentral also lists the same sequence under 1 other name. Lineage: Bacteria; Bacillati; Bacillota; Clostridia; Peptostreptococcales; Peptostreptococcaceae. The record is from RNAcentral.
GCCGAAUUGCUGGAACUGGUAGACGGGGAGGACUCAAAAUCCUUUGCUAGAAAUAGCGUGUGGGUUCGAUUCCCACAUUCGGCACCA